CUUUAUUAUCAAAGUAAACAUUGUAUCUGUAAAAGAAAUUCCUUUGUUUGCAAGGGGAUAGAAGAUCCAUGGAUCAACAGGAGCAUCUAUUUGCCUAAAACCUUUAAAUUAAAUCUAACUCUGAAACAGUAGACAGAAUUAAGAAAAUGUAUUAAUUACAGACUAGGCCCAAAAGAAUUAGAGCGCACUAAACUGGGAACAAAUACCCAAAAGUCUGAAUGUGUCAAUAGAAUAAUUAGGCGUUCCUUACCUAGAAGUAAUACAUUCAGCAAAAAUUUCCAAGGCAGGGCGAAUAGCGCUGUUUCUUCAGCAAACCAUGGCCCAGGUGAAUCCGUGAUGGCUUUAUGCUUGUCUGUUGGUGCCCCGGUCACAGCUGGAUCUAAAGUUCACACACACACA
RNAcentral lists this long non-coding RNA (399 nucleotides) under Mytilus galloprovincialis (Mediterranean mussel). Lineage: Eukaryota; Metazoa; Mollusca; Bivalvia; Mytilida; Mytilidae. The record is from RNAcentral.